UACAGAGGUCUCAAGCGUUGUUCGGAUUCAUUGGGCGUAAAGGGUGCGUAGGCGGCGCGGUAAGUCGGGUGUGAAAUUUCGAGGCUUAACUUCGAAACUGCAUUCGAUACUGCCGUGCUUGAGGAUGGUAGAGGCGAGUGGAAUUCCCGGUGUAGCGGUGAAAUGCGCAGAUAUCGGGAGGAACACCAGUAGCGAAGGCGGCUCGCUGGGCCAUUCCUGACGCUGAGACGCGAAAGCUAGGGGAGCGAACAGG
RNAcentral lists this ribosomal RNA (253 nucleotides) under uncultured bacterium. Its description in RNAcentral is "partial 16S ribosomal RNA". It matches the Rfam family "Bacterial small subunit ribosomal RNA", at positions 524 to 776 of the family's 1533-position model. The record is from RNAcentral.